CUCCGCCAGAAAAUUACGGGCGAAAGCCUGAAACUCAAAAGACUUGACGGUGUUCCAACCUACCUAGAGGAGCCUGUUCCAUAAUCGACAAUCCACGAUAAACCUAACCAUCCUUAGUAAACCACUCAGCCUAUAUACCGCCGUCGUCAGCCUGCCCUUUAAAAGAAUAAAAGCAAGCCAAAAAGUAUUUUACUAACAAGUCAGGUCAAGGUGUAGCACAUAGAAUGGAGGAGAUGGGCUACAUUAUUUAAACUAAUUUAUCACGAAUUCCUAAUGAAAACUCAAAUGAAGGCGGAUUUAGCAGUAAUUUAAACGAGAAUAUUUAAAUUAA
Molecule: ribosomal RNA, 331 nt
Filed under: Gelanesaurus cochranae (Cochran's neusticurus)
Lineage: Eukaryota; Metazoa; Chordata; Lepidosauria; Squamata; Gymnophthalmidae
Description: partial 12S ribosomal RNA
Rfam family: Bacterial small subunit ribosomal RNA
Source: RNAcentral